AACGAACGCUGGCGGCAUGCCUAACACAUGCAAGUCGAACGAGACCUUCGGGUCUAGUGGCGCACGGGUGCGUAACGCGUGGGAACCUGCCCUUAGGUUCGGAAUAACUCCCCGAAAGGGGUGCUAAUACCGGAUAAUGUCUUCGGACCAAAGAUUUAUCGCCUUUGGAUGGGCCCGCGUUGGAUUAGCUAGUUGGUAGGGUAAAAGCCUACCAAGGCGACGAUCCAUAGCUGGUCUGAGAGGAUGAUCAGCCACACUGGGACUGAGACACGGCCCAGACUCCUACGGGAGGCAGCAGUGGGGAAUAUUGGACAAUGGGCGAAAGGAUGAUCCAGCAAUGCCGCGUGAGUGAUGAAGGCCGUAGGGUUGUAAAGCUCUUUUACCCGGGAUGAUAAUGACAGUACCGGGAGAAUAAGCUCCGGCUAACUCCGUG
Molecule: ribosomal RNA, 433 nt
Filed under: uncultured bacterium
Lineage: Bacteria
Description: partial 16S ribosomal RNA
Rfam family: Bacterial small subunit ribosomal RNA
Source: RNAcentral